This 286-nucleotide long non-coding RNA is filed under the name Elaeis guineensis (African oil palm). RNAcentral describes it as "long non-coding RNA (EGUI_LNC066202)". The record is from RNAcentral. Lineage: Eukaryota; Viridiplantae; Streptophyta; Magnoliopsida; Arecales; Arecaceae.
CUUAAUGGUACCUCUACAACAGAUUUCGGAUUUGACAUCAUUAAAUCCGAUUCUGUGGGUUCACUAAACUAUAUCGAUUUUACCUAUUGAACUUUCUCAAGUUUAACCUUAGAGACAUUAAUCCUUUUUUCAAAUCUUUUUUUCUAAAAAGACUGUCCUAAGACUGAUAAACAUUUUUUGUUCAUCAAUAAGGUAGAAAUAAUAUCCCUUAGUUUCUUUAGGACAUCCUAUAAAAUUAUAUUUAUCAGACCUAGCUUCAUGUUUUUCUAUUUUCAAACAUUUGAUA